Long non-coding RNA from Engraulis encrasicolus (European anchovy), 1664 nucleotides. RefSeq lists it as uncharacterized. The record is from RefSeq and is a predicted model, not a curated record. The transcript is spliced from 5 exons. NCBI's taxonomy places the organism in Eukaryota, Metazoa, Chordata, Actinopteri, Clupeiformes, Engraulidae.
CUAGUAACGAACCUGGACUCGAUCUACUACUGAACUAGGAUAUUGUGCUGUGUAAAUAAUUUGCAUUGAGGAGAGUCCAUCAGCUCACUAACACGGGUGAGGGACAGGGACCAAAGAGGAGGCUCUACAACGUGAGGAAAGACGGCGAUCCUCAAGCAGUCAGUCCAUGAGCCCACGUCUUCAGGCCAGGGGCCCGAGAGAAAUUUCCAGUGACAUGGAUCAACAGAGAUCCUCAAACAGUCAGUCCAUGUGCCACGUUCCAGCCAGGGACCAAAAGGGGGACUUUCGUCAUGGGGCCAGACAGACAUCCUCAAGCAAAAUAGAGAGAUGCAUCCAGGCCACCCACUAGGAGGUGGGAAAUCGUACGAAGAGGUGGCUGUACCUGGCAGCAGACUGAGAUGGGGUGAGGAAGAGAAGCACAGACCAAGAACGGAAUGUCAGACAUUUGCCCUUUUUUAUGCCCAGCACACACAGACACACACACACACACACACACACACACACACACACACACACCAGCAUAUAAACAUGCACAUAGACACAGGCGCACGUGCACACACAUACACAGACUCUCAAACAAGAUGAGUCUCUGGUGAUGUUGGCAAAUAAUCUGAAUCGAUACACGCGGCAAUGAUUCCACCAUGGUGCCCCACCUACGCGAGUCCUGUCCUUCAGCAUUGACUUUCUCCCCAGGUGUGGUGUGCCUUCAUCCGAACCACAAUGGCAUCCCAAGCAGCAACAAAUACCUGCACGCAUGCAUGCUACGGUACACACACAAACACACUGGACUGUGAACUAGGUCAGACACACACACAUGCUCAAAGUAGCCAAGAUCGAAAAGGCUGCAUCGGUGGCUUGACUGCAUCCACCUUUGUCAAUUUGGAGGAACUUUGUUGUGGGAAGAUAUUUUAAAAUGUUGAUAGUCAGACUCUUGUAUACCCAUUCGCUUCACUUUGAUGUAUUUUGUAAUUGAGAUGAUUUAUGCCACAGUGCUGAAUUAACACAUCAUGACAAAGAUGUCGCCUUAAAAGGUAUGUUUGGUACCUGUGGGUCAAAUGUCUCAGGAGCUCCCUGACUGCAGAACGUCUCAGGAAAGGACUCAACUUUUUAUAUUGUAUGCUGGGUGCGAUUUGUCAGAAAACCAGAAAGGGGGAUGUGUUUCAGAUGUCAACAAUAUCAAUGGAGUUACAUUAAACUAUGAUUAAAAUCAUGUGGAAAAAGUGACAAUAUCAAAACCAGAAGAGGGGACAAUCUCCCUACAAACCGCACCCUGAUUGUAUGUAUUUUACAUGUUUGUACAUGAUUAAUACAUGUUCACAGAAGAAAAUACAAUGUACGACUGCAAGGUCUUGUGCGUUUUUCUCACCGAUAUCUUAAAGGUUUAUGCGUUACAAAAUGUUUAUUAUUUUGUUUAUUUUCUGAACGUUUUUUUUUAAUAACUCAAAUGGAUAUGUUAAGAAACGUGUUUAUCUUCUGGUUUGUUUUUUGGAAAAUUCCAUUUAAAACAUGAAGGGAUAUUUUAAGAAAGGCUGUGAGUUUAAAAAAAAUGCAUUUUGAUCAUUUUGUUUUCUUGUUUAAAAUGUCAUACAUUUUCAAUUUCCAAAAUCUAUUGAAUGGAUGAAUGUUGUAGCUUACUAAAGAUAAUAAAUGGCCAAUUUGCAUGA